RNAcentral lists this long non-coding RNA (3795 nucleotides) under Mytilus galloprovincialis (Mediterranean mussel). Lineage: Eukaryota; Metazoa; Mollusca; Bivalvia; Mytilida; Mytilidae. The record is from RNAcentral.
GAAGGAUGGUCGUAGUGUGAACGUAGUCAGGUCGUAAGAAGAGCGUGACGAGGACGGCAAGGGCGUGCUGGAAUCGUACUAUGGUCGUGAACAGCGUGGUAUAGUCGUAGUGGAGGCAUAGUUGGGUCGCGGUGAAACCGUGAUGGACGUAGUGAGGUCGUGAUAACGGUCGCUGUGAGAUCGUAGCGCAGUCUCUUCAAAUAGAAUCACGCUCUCGCUACUACCCCAGUCCCACUAGGCCACGAUCGCACUACGAUCUGUGAAAAAAAUGCAAAUUUGAUGAUCGUAGUACAAUCGUGUAGAUCGCAGUAAGGUCGUAUCACGGUCGUGGUGAGGUCUUCAAGAUUGUGAUGAGCAUGGCCAACUUUGCACAUGUUCAAAACAAUCGUGGUGCGGUCGUGGCCAAAUCAGGUCGUAGUAGAAGCGUAGUGAGAGCGCACUAAGAUCGUAGUAAGAUCGCAAAGGUCGCUGUACAUGCACCAUCGGAGUGACAGCGUAGCGAAAGCGUGAUUCUAUUCGGAGAAACUGCGCUACGAUCUCAUUGCGACGUUAUUACGACCUCACUACAAUCAUCACGUUCUCACCGCGACCAAACUACGCUUCCACUACGAGUCGACUAUACCACGCUGUUCACGACCAUAGUACGAUUCUAGCGCGCCCUUGCCGUUCUCAUCACGCUCUUCUCACGACCUGACUACGUUCAUACUACGACCAUUAUUCUCAUUGUAAUUUUCCCAUAAAAUAUAUUAAUUCUCUCCAGGUUUUGUUUGUCUGUUACUUACAACUUACAACUCCCGUUAGCGCCAUGUGUCGCAUAGGGCGCGAAUGGAAGCCUUCCAUCUGAGUCUGUCUGCUGCUGCUUGUUCUUCUUCUCCCCAUGUUCUCCAUCCAAAUUCUGUUCUUUCCUUAUCUACCAUUCGUCUCCAAGUUUCUUUUGGUCUUCCUACAUUUCUCUUUCCUGGUGGUGUCCAUGUCAAGGCGAUUCUACAAUCAUUCCAUGGGUCCAUCCUCAGGAUGUGACCUAUCCAACUCCAUCUCCUGAUCUUAAUGGUGUUGGUUAUGCUGCACAUGUUGGCUUUUUGUAGCAGUUCUGCGUUGGAUAUCAUAGUUGGCUAAAAUAUCUUAAAGAUUCUACGCAAGUUCCUGGUGUUGAAGGUGUUAAGUCUAUCUCCAUCUCUCUUGAUUAUCUUCCAACAUUCUGCCCCAUAUAGCGACACUGAUAUUACAUUGCUUUUACAAAUUUUCAUUUUGGUGUUUCUACUGUAUUGGUUUGAUGUCCAUAUUUUUCUUAGCUUAUAGUAUGCUGCUUUUGCUUUUUUAUGCCCACCUACGAUAGUAGAGGGGCAUUAUGUUUUCUUGUCUGUGGCUCCGUUCGUUCGUCCGUCCGUCCGUCCGUCUGUGCGUCCGUUCAGGUUAAAGUUUUUGGUCACGGUAGUUUUUGAUGAAGCUGAAGUCCAAUCAACUUGAAACUUAGUACACUUGUUGCUUAUGAUAUGAUCUUUCUAAUUUUAAAGCCAAAUUUGACUUUUGACCCCAAUUUCACGGUCCACUGAACAUAGAAAAUGAAAGUUGGAGUUUCAGGUUAAAGUUUUUGGUCAAGGUAGUUUUUGAUGAAGCUGAAGUCCAAUCAACUUGAAACUUAAUACACUUGUUGCUUAUGAUAUGAUCUUUCUAAUUUUAAAGCCAAAUUAGACUUUUUCCCCCAAUUUCACGGUCCACUGAAUAUAGAAAAUGAAAGUGGGAAUUUUCAGGUUAAGUUUUUGGUCAAGGUAGUUUUUUGAUAAAUUGAAGUCCAAUCAACUUGAAACUUAGUACAUAUGUUCCUAUAGUACUAUAGUAUAAUCUUUCUUAUUUUAAUGCCAAAUUAGAUUAUUACCCAAUUUCACGGUCCAUGGAACAUGGAAAAGGAUAGUGCGAGUGGGGCAUCCGUGUACUUUGGACACAUUCUUGUUGAUUAUAUUCCUUAUGUCGGCUGUUGCAUUGUCGUUGGUAUCUAUGACCGAUCCUACUAGGUAUGUGAAGCUGUCUACUAUCUCUAUUUCUUCGUUGUUCAAUGUAAUAGGCUGGAUGUUGUUUGCCUUUACACACAUUAUUUUACUCUUUUUCUUGUUUAUUUCUAAGCCAGUUGUUUUAGCUAUCUUUGUCUGUAUCACUAUGUAAUUGGGACUUCUUGUCCAUUUUCUCUAACGUCUCAACCAUGCUUCUUGUUUUCAUAUAGAUUAGACCGUUGGUUUUCCUGUUUGAAUGGUUUUACACUAGUAGUAUUUUUUGGCGGGGCCUUUUAUAUCUUGCUGUUCGGUGUAAGCCGGUGUCUUUCUAUAUCUAUUGACACAUCUGUUUCAUAUCUGCUAUCGUUCAGCUUUAUGGACCAGCAAUAGGUUGUAAUGUAGGUCGGAUUGGUCGGUCCGACAUCUCUCAUUGAUCAAGAUUCGUUAUGAUCAGAGCUCCAUCUGCCUCUACACCAACCCUAACACCACGCCCACCUGUUCUAGUAGAUUUUGGUGGCUUCAUUGUAUUUUUUCGAGAAAUCUACGUAUUAAUUAGAAAUACAACUGAAGGAAUGAUACUGUAUUGAUAUGGAACACGAUGUUGACGUUAUUGCUGAGAGCGUAGUAAGAUCGCGGUUUGAACGUAGUGUAAUCGUGGCAAGAACGUGCUAUAAUCGCAGUAGAAGCGUGGUAAAGCCCCAGUCCCACUAGACCACGAUCGUACCACGCUCACCGCGAUCUAAAAUAAAUUUAGAUCGUGGUGAGGUCGCGGUAUGAGCGGCAUGAAAAUGUAAAUUUUCGUUGCUUUCACGAUGCUACUACGUCCUCUCUACGCUUCUACAAAGAUCCCGCUACGAUUAUACCACGUUCUCACCGCGCUUAUUCUGCGACCUCACUACGCUUAUCAAGAUCUUUCUACGCUCUUCACGUUCUCACUACGACCAUACCACGAGUUAUCCGAUUGCAACACGAUCUUACUGCGAUUAUUACACGUUCUUACUACGAUUAUACUACGUUCAUAGCGCGAUCUUACUACGUUCUCAGCAAUAACGUCAACAUCGUGUUCCAUAUCAAUACAGUUCAAUUCCUUCUAUUUCUGAUUAAAUCGUAGAUUUCUCGGAAACAAUACAGUCAUGCCACCAAAAUCUGCCAUAACACGUGGGCAUGGUGGUAGGAGUUGAUGUAGAGGCAGAGGGAGCAAAGUAACGAAUCCUGAUCAAGCAGAGAUGUCGGACCGACCAAUCCAACCUAAAUUACAACCUAUUGCUGGUCCAUGAAGCUCAAUGACGAUAUUUUAGUGAACGAUAGCAGAGAUGACAUAGAUGUAUCAAUAUAUAUAGGAAGAUGUGGUAUGUGUGCCAAUGAGACAACUCUCCAUCCAAGUAACAAUUUAUAAAAGAAAACCAUUAUAGGCCACGGUAAGGCCUUCAACACGGAGCCUUGGCUCACAUCAAUCAGAACGUUAUAAAGGACCCAAAAUAUUACUAGUGUUAAACCAUUUAAACGGGAAAACCAACGGUCUAAUCUAUAUAAAAACGAGAAGCAUGGUUGAACCGUUAGAGCAAAUGGAUAAUUACAUUCAAACAAACAAAAUCUAGGGAGCAUUUUUUAUAUUAAUUUUAUGUGAAAAUGACAAUGAGAAUGAUUGUCGUAGUGUGAACGUAGUCAGGUCGUAAGAAGAGCGUGAUGAGGACGGCAAGGGCGUGCUAGAAUCGUACUAUGGUCGUGAACAGCGUGGUAUAGUCGUAGUGGAAGCGUAGUUGGGUCGCAGUGAGAACGUGAUGGUCGUAGUGAGGUCUUUAUAACG